Molecule: ribosomal RNA, 465 nt
Filed under: Vreelandella stevensii
Lineage: Bacteria; Pseudomonadati; Pseudomonadota; Gammaproteobacteria; Oceanospirillales; Halomonadaceae
Description: partial 16S ribosomal RNA
Rfam family: Bacterial small subunit ribosomal RNA
Source: RNAcentral
CCUACGGGCGGCAGCAGUGGGGAAUAUUGGACAAUGGGCGAAAGCCUGAUCCAGCCAUGCCGCGUGUGUGAAGAAGGCCUUCGGGUUGUAAAGCACUUUCAGUGGGGAAGAAAGCCUUGGGGCUAAUACCCUCGAGGAAGGACAUCACCCACAGAAGAAGCACCGGCUAACUCCGUGCCAGCAGCCGCGGUAAUACGGAGGGUGCGAGCGUUAAUCGGAAUUACUGGGCGGAAAGCGCGCGUAGGCGGUCUGAUAAGCCGGUUGUGAAAGCCCCGGGCUCAACCUGGGAACGGCAUCCGGAACUGUCAGGCUAGAGUGCAGGAGAGGAAGGUAGAAUUCCCGGUGUAGCGGUGAAAUGCGUAGAGAUCGGGAGGAAUACCAGUGGCGAAGGCGGCCUUCUGGACUGACACUGACGCUGAGGUGCGAAAGCGUGGGUAGCAAACAGGAUUAGAUACCCCAGUAGUC